Molecule: ribosomal RNA, 864 nt
Filed under: uncultured bacterium
Lineage: Bacteria
Description: bacterial SSU rRNA
Rfam family: Bacterial small subunit ribosomal RNA
Source: RNAcentral
AGAGUUUGAUCAUGGCUCAGGAUGAACGCUAGCGGCAGGCCUAACACAUGCAAGUCGAGGGGUAGUAGGUGCUUGCACUUAUGAGACCGGCGCACGGGUGCGUAACGCGUAUGCAAUCUACCUUUUACUGAGGGAUAGCCCAGAGAAAUUUGGAUUAAUACCUCAUAGUAUUAUUGAGUGGCAUCAUUUGAUAAUUAAAGUUCCAACGGUAAAAGAUGAGCAUGCGUCCCAUUAGUUAGUUGGUAAGGUAACGGCUUACCAAGACUAUGAUGGGUAGGGGUCCUGAGAGGGAGAUCCCCCACACUGGUACUGAGACACGGACCAGACUCCUAGGGGAGGCAGCAGUGAGGAAUAUUGGACAAUGGGCGCAAGCCUGAUCCAGCCAUGCCGCGUGCAGGAAGACGGUCCUAUGGAUUGUAAACUGCUUUUAUACAGGAAGAAACACUCCCUCGUGAGGGAGCUUGACGGUACUGUAGGAAUAAGGAUCGGCUAACUCCGUGCCAGCAGCCGCGGUAAUACGGAGGAUCCAAGCGUUAUCCGGAAUCAUUGGGUUUAAAGGGUCCGUAGGCGGCCUUAUAAGUCAGUGGUGAAAUCUCCUAGCUCAACUAGGAAACUGCCAUUGAAACUGUAGGGCUUGAAUUAUUAGGAAGUAACUAGAAUAUGUAGUGUAGCGGUGAAAUGCUUAGAUAUUACAUGGAAUACCAAUUGCGAAGGCAGGUUACUACUAAUGGAUUGACGCUGAUGGACGAAAGCGUGGGUAGCGAACAGGAUUAGAUACCCUGGUAGUCCACGCCGUAAACGAUGGAUACUAGCUGUUCGGAGCAAUCUGAGUGGCUAAGCGAAAGUGAUAAGUUCCCCCCUGGA